This is a long non-coding RNA of Serinus canaria (Common canary), 430 nucleotides long. RefSeq lists it as uncharacterized. The record is from RefSeq and is a predicted model, not a curated record. Lineage: Eukaryota; Metazoa; Chordata; Aves; Passeriformes; Fringillidae. The transcript has 2 exons.
AAAGGGGCGGGGUCGGGAGCGGCCGCCGGUCCCCUCACGGUCGUCCGCCAUGUUGGCUGUGGCUCUCGCCAGUCCCGGGCCCCUCCGUGUCCCUUGGUUCCUUCCGGCAGGGGCGACAGGAGAAGGAUGAUCUUGGUGGAGGGAGCCCAGCUUGGUGUGGUCCUCAUUUCUGCUGUUGUGUGAAGAGAGAUGGAGAGAAAUACAUCCAGAGGCCCAGAGCUGGGCAUGGAACAAAGGCAGCAUGUCCAAAGUAAUCCCAUCUGCAGGAGCCUACAAGAAGCCAUUCCUUCUCCUGGAGCCUAAAAAGGAGGACAAUUUCCUUCACCAGGUUUAACAGCAAGAUGUGGGGUCACUGUGGAGAUAUCCACAGACAGAUCCAUCAGGGCUGAAGGCAGGAGAACUACAAUUAAUAUUAGAUUGCAAAACACAA